UACGAAGGGUGCAAGCGUUACUCGGAAUCACUGGGCGUAAAGCGUGCGUAGGCGGUCCUUUAAGUCUGAUGUGAAAGCCCACGGCUCAACCGUGGAGGGUCAUUGGAAACUGGGGGACUUGAGUGCAGAAGAGGAGAGUGGAAUUCCACGUGUAGCGGUGAAAUGCGUAGAGAUGUGGAGGAACACCAGUGGCGAAGGCGACUCUCUGGUCUGUAACUGACGCUGAGGCGCGAAAGCGUGGGGAGCAAACAGG
This 253-nucleotide ribosomal RNA is filed under the name uncultured bacterium. RNAcentral describes it as "partial 16S ribosomal RNA". It matches the Rfam family "Bacterial small subunit ribosomal RNA", at positions 524 to 776 of the family's 1533-position model. The record is from RNAcentral.